AGGUGCGAACAGCCGGGGGCUCGGAGCUCGCGCCCUGCGCCCCACCCAGGUUGCGGCCGCCCAGGGAGGAAGCGCGUAUAGUGGAUUUUGCUCUGAAGGUUCUCCAGUGGUCUGACUACGAGAUAGUGCGGCUUCAGCUGUGGGAUAUUGCAGGGCAGGAGCGCUUCACCUCUAUGACACGACUGUAUUAUCGGGACGCCUCUGCCUGU
RNAcentral lists this small RNA (209 nucleotides) under Pongo abelii (Sumatran orangutan). Its description in RNAcentral is "processed transcript". Lineage: Eukaryota; Metazoa; Chordata; Mammalia; Primates; Hominidae. The record is from RNAcentral.